This 496-nucleotide ribosomal RNA is filed under the name uncultured bacterium. RNAcentral's name for it is "partial 16S ribosomal RNA". It matches the Rfam family "Bacterial small subunit ribosomal RNA", at positions 28 to 507 of the family's 1533-position model. The record is from RNAcentral.
GAUGAACGCUGCGGCGUGCCUAAUACCUGCCAGUCGAGCGAACGGACGAGAAGCUUGCUUCUCUGAUGUUAGCGGCGGACGGGUGAGUAACACGUGGAUAACCUACCUAUAAGACUGGGAUAACUUCGGGAAACCGGAGCUAAUACCGGAUAAUAUUUUGAACCGCAUGGUUCAAAAGUGAAAGACGGUCUUGCUGUCACUUAUAGAUGGAUCCGCGCUGCAUUAGCUAGUUGGUAAGGUAACGGCUUACCAAGGCAACGAUGCAUAGCCGACCUGAGAGGGUGAUCGGCCACACUGGAACUGAGACACGGUCCAGACUCCUACGGGAGGCAGCAGUAGGGAAUCUUCCGCAAUGGGCGAAAGCCUGACGGAGCAACGCCGCGUGAGUGAUGAAGGUCUUCGGAUCGUAAAACUCUGUUAUUAGGGAAGAACAUAUGUGUAAGUAACUGUGCACAUCUUGACGGUACCUAAUCAGAAAGCCACGGCUAACUACGUG